Long non-coding RNA from Mastomys coucha (southern multimammate mouse), 177 nucleotides. RefSeq lists it as uncharacterized. The transcript is spliced from 2 exons. NCBI's taxonomy places the organism in Eukaryota, Metazoa, Chordata, Mammalia, Rodentia, Muridae. The record is from RefSeq and is a predicted model, not a curated record.
AGUCAGAGAAAACCUCUGUCCCCAAGAGCCUGGACCUCUGGUCCUCUGUGUCCUAUGAACACAGAGCCAGGAUGCAGUGUCGGGAUCUGUCAGCCACUAGCCCAUCCUGUCAGGCCUUGCCAUCACAGGUCACACAACCUAUCUGGUCAGAGCCUCAGCUUGCCCAGCUCUGCCCCU